GUUGUUGUAUGAAUAAUGACUGAAAUGCAAAAUUCAACAUAUCAGUGUUGUGUAAACACCCUAGGGCAGUUUCAUAUUACACGCAUUGGAUCAUCAAACUGAAUACCGUGGCGUCAAUAUCUUAGCUCAAAACAGGAAAUCAAAAAAUAAAUUAUAGGAUGUGUACAACUUCAAUACGUGUGAAAUUUUACAAAUUAUCAAUAAUGUUUAGUGAAAAGCAUUGAUUCCAGAUUUCACAUAAAAGGCAAAACCAAUUUUAAAACAAGCAUUUUUUUUAAUGUACCAUGCUCCCUACCGGUCCCAAGUCAUUUCGUCUGCGUAAUAUUAAUGCGUGAAUAAUCAAAUGUCAACUGUUUAUGUUCAACUGUUUAUGUUAACUUCCUCUUUGGCUCCGUCGUUGGGGGACUAAAUAUAUUUAAAGGUUUUAAAAAGGAAAAGAAAAAUGCGAAAGGAUUUUUUUUUUAUCAAAUGAUCCAUGUGAUUCUUAUGCGAAAUAUCAGAAUGUAAGUAACAUGCAGAAAACCCAAUUUACUUUCUAUUGAACGAUUAGGGGCCAUAACUAAAUGUGUCACUUUCUUCCACAGACAAGACAAAGAUGAUAUUGUAUCUGACAAUCUCAAAUUGAAAGUCGGACUCAUUAUACGUCUGUAGUGCUGCACAUCACAUCGAAACACGUCAACGACACACAUCCGGGGAUUUAUGAAACAUUGCGUCAAAUGCAUGUGGAAAAGAUAUGAUAAAAGACUCCCAUACCUACACUGUACAUCAUCCAUUGGAUAAAAAUAUAGGUUCAUUAACAACCGUUAGUGAAGAUGUUACCGCUUAUUGAAUGCAGGUUAAAACAUGACGCAGCCGUGCGUGAAACUAAAUCUGUGACGUCAGCGGAAGAAAAGAUUCUUUAUUAUUAUUCUUUAUUGCUGAAGACAUACGUCCUAUGGCAUACAUGUUUACAAAAAUAAUAAACAAGUUAACAAUUGUAUAGUAUGACAUGGCAUGACAUUAUAUGGUAUGUUACACAAUGAUGAUGUGAAUUUAUAGACAGAGAAUGUUAUAUAAGUAAAUCAUUAUGUAAAUUAAAGGCACAGUAAAGAUAUUUCCCCAAAUUACACAACUCUUUGAAUUUUUUUUACACUUAAUAAUUGUAUAAGUUUAAAAACAGAUGGGUUUUCCCAAUAAUACCUCUUGAUAUAUUUCCUGCGCAAUUCAAUAAAGCAAGGACAUUUUAAAAUAAAAAGAAAUUCAUCCUCAUUAUCUAAAUUACAUAGUUUACAAUAGCGGUUAUUUCUUGCUACAUUAAAAUGACGUCCACUCUCAAUGGCAAGAUUAUGCGAAGACAUUCUAAUUCUACUACUGUGUCAUUUAUAAACAUGUGGUAUAGCCUUCAUCAAGUCAAAUUCCAACUACUAUUGCCGCGAGGUAGACAGAACAUAUUUCCAAUUCAUUAAAAUUAUGUAAACAUUCGCUCGGUAAAAUCGUGCGAAUAUAUACAAUAUUACAACUCGCUAGAUAAAGUAAAUAUACAAUCAUAGUAUAUGUACGAAAAUUUCUGUCCGAAACGCUGUGUUACAAAAUAUGAUCGUCAACCAUACCUGCUAAUGUACUACAUGUUGUAGAUUUCAGACAUGCUGUUCAUUUGAGAUGUAUAUAGGAAAGAAGAAAAUAAACGUAUACAACGGUAGAAUUAUUUUAUACCAAGCAUAUUAUGACCACAAACAAGAUUGAGAUGCUUUCUUUUCAUCAUAUUUUUCGAUUUCAAAACAUUCGAUAUUAUUACAAAACGAAAACAUCAUUACAAUGGCUAUUUUUCGAUACACAAUGAAUUAUUGUACUUGGUUAUUAUCACGGUUUCUUGCGUAAAUUUGUUUUCACGCUGCUGAAAAUUCACAAUUUUAUGUAAAUUUCUAUACAUACAUGUAUUUAUAAACAUGGUAUUUUACUAAUUUUACGAUGUUAGUCUGAAGUUUGUAAUUCUGACUUUAAAUUUGCUAGAUUUGCUAUUUCAUAAAUAAGCGUGCAUGUCACAAGCAUUUCAUGUUUAACAAUUUGAAGCGUUUUCUGUCUAUCAAUUCUAGUUAACGAACUUUGUUUGCCUACAUCAUGCGCAUGACUUAAUUGCUACCAUGGCAAUAGAACCAUAAUACACGGUCCAGCGCCUCGAUUCAUGUUUUUUUCCUCCCUGUUAAUUUCUUUAAGCGCCGGUAGCCUUGAAAUCGAGCGGAGAAUGUUAAUUACAUAGUGUAGUACAUGUAUGUGUUAUUUAGGCCUAUUUUCACGUACUCAACAUCAUGUUCGACCUCUUACCUGCGUCGUUAUCCUCUUUUCGUCUUCGAUCCAUCAUUUCCUGUUUUGAUACGGUGAUAAAUGACUUUGACUAUCUAAGCUGAUUUAAAUUUAGGAAAAAUUAUAACGCAAUUCGGUCAUUCAUCUUAGUUUCACUGUAACUUACCCAUGAAGGGUGUUUACCAAAUUUCUGCCUUUACUUAGAAGGGUGGAUUGGUACAGAAGUAAAUAUUACACAAUUUAUUCCAUCUUCCCAUCAACGUGGAGCGGAGUGGACCGAGAACCCAUGAAUUCAUUCCUAUACACAGUAGUGAUCUAUUUAUAGAUAUACAUGUAUUAAAAGCAUCACAAAAUUGAAUACAUUGAAAUAUGUAGAUCUUAACCUUUUCUAACUCGAGUUUUAAAAAAAAGUUUCAAGGAACGCAUAUAUAUGAGAGUACAAACGAAUUUAAAGACGCGUGAUCUCUUUCAGUUCCAGAUGUUCUAGGAUGACCGACGGACAGAGAGGCUGCGGAAAAAAUAUCAAUGCAGGUCGCUGUGCUUCGCAGUCGGCACAAAAUGCACAGAGAAGGAUUCAACAGCUUCUACGUAAGACGAAAAUGUCUCGCUGUGGCCUUCAAUGAACUUAAAAUGAAAUAUACCAGCCUUUCAUAUCUUCUUCUUAUCUAACUGGAUAUAUGAUUACAAACAGAUGUUAAAGAUUGAUUGAAUAUUAGUUAACGUCCCUCUCGAGAUUAUUUCACUCACUGUCGGUGAAGGGCUGCAAAAUUUCGGCCUAUGCUCAGCGCUUAUGGCCUUUGAACAGGGAGUGAUCUUUAUCGUGCCACAUCUACUGUAACACGGGACCUCGGUUUUAGCAGUCUCAGCCGAAGGACCACCCCAUUCAGUUGCCUUCUAUGACAAGCAAGGGGUACUGAGGACCUAUUCUAACCCGGAUCCCCACGGGAACAUAUGUUAAAGACAAACUAACGACUUAACUUGGUGACAAACGGGAUGACUUCUGCUUCUCCAACGUAAACUCCCAUACUUAUCAUCUGUAUAUGGUGUCCAUGUCUCUCAACUGAUUCGAUACACGAGAGCAUGUUCUGCGUAUGAUCAAAUUUUAAAUCGAGGCAGGCUACUGGUAAAUAGUUGAUGUUGCAGGGGUUUCAAUAGUUUCGUUUAAACCGGUAGUUAGUAUUUCGCAAAUUACAUGGUCGUUAUAAUGAUCCGAUUUCCAAAUACAACCUGACAUUAGGUCGAAUGCUAUCUGACAUGUUAGGCCGUUCUUUACAUGCUGAUUUUGACUACGGAUUACUCCGCUUACCUGAUCCAAAUAAGGCUCAAGGCGGGUAUGACCAGUCAGCAGGGGAUGCUUACUUCUCCUAGGCACAUGGCUUUACCACUGAUGUGUCCAGUUGCUCGUAUUUUGCCAUAUUCUUGCUUUUGUAUUCUUUAUAAGAACUAUGAGAAUGAUCAUUGUUCGUUAUCUUCAUUUUUUUUCAGUCUUAAUUUUGUCUAGUAAUAGGAAAAGGCAAAACGAAAAGUAAUCAAACAAGUUGUUGUCCUUUAAAAGAGGACUGCAAUACGUGGACAAUAGGCAUGCGUUUCUAACAGAAACCUAAUAUUCUAGGUUGAAAUUAAAAUACAUUUCAAAACAGAUUCUUUUAAAUCUUGAAACAUGCGAAUAUUUCAUUAUAAGUUGUAUUGCUAGAGCUGUAAUGAUGUAUAAGCCUAAUGGAUAUUCAAUAGUUGUAGCUUGCUUCAACUCCAAAAUUAAGAGUCAUCCCUGUAUUGAUAUUGACCUUUAAGUUCAAAUUCAACAGGGGACACAAUUUGGUCUAAAUAAUAACGUUCGAGUUUCAUGCCUUAAUAGCCGUUUUUCGAGUUCCUCCGGAACGCGGUUUUUAUUCUGUGUUUAGUCACGCCGCUUCAAAAAUGUUCAGCAGGGUUACUUCCGGUUUCUCGUUGUUCACCAACACUUCGCGUAUUAAAUGUAUUAGUUUGGGAUGUAUGGGGGUACGUAUUUGUUUGUCAACGUUUGAUAAGCUACCAUUGGUCAAAUUCAACGGAAGACUUAGAGAAGACGACGAUGUUGCAGUGUAACUUGCAGAUCUAUGCAGAAGGCCUAACUGUCUAGGAACCCUAGGCCCUAUAGCCCUAUCUAGUACAGUACUAGCCAUAGUGGGACAUGAAAAGAACGUAUUAGACUCGGUGAAACCUACCAGAUAGGUGCUGUGAUGGUGUACAUAUAUGACCUGCUUUGGUCUGAAUGGUUUGCUAUUAAACUAUGGACAGGACAGUGGUAUCAUCUGUGAAUGACUGACCAUGCUGAUUAUGUCAAAGCUGUGGAAUAUUUCUACAUAAAUGAUCUUCGUACUAAUCAAAGACACAACAGAAUGAGAUAUAUGCUACCAAAAAUGACCAAGACAAAACAAAAAUGUUAUAUGGGGAUAUUGGAAGUGGAUCAUCCAUUUUCCUUGCCUUUCCCUCGAGGUCUUCAGACAGUGUCUCUAUACACCAUUAACCAUGUUGGUUAG
Molecule: long non-coding RNA, 4799 nt
Organism: Ostrea edulis (European flat oyster)
Lineage: Eukaryota; Metazoa; Mollusca; Bivalvia; Ostreida; Ostreidae
Exons: 3
Source: RefSeq, a predicted model, not a curated record